AUAGAUUCUGUUUUUAAAUCAAUAAUUAAUUCGUUUUUUAAAAUAGAUAAUAAUCAGAAUUAAUGUAAUUAUGGGCCAUUAAUCACGUUUUGGGCGUUAGAAACUGGAAGCCUGAAAGGGUCUGACAUACACUGUUAAACAGAGAAGGGUGUUAUUGUAAAUUUAGUGGGGGACACGAAAAGUUAAUUUACUAAAAAGCCCUAAGGAGCUGGCUUAUAGAAUAGAGAUUCUUUGCCCAAAAAUGAAAAAACAGAGAGAGAAAUGAAGAAGAAAGAGAAAAAAAAAUGUGGAGUUUUAGGAGAAAUGGGAUGCGUGCUCUCCCCCAAAACCUUUGAAGCUGUUGGGUCACUUCAAAUUAUAACCUAAUACUUCAAAUUAAAAAGUAUGGUCUACUUGAGAGUUUAGGAGAAAUGGGAUGCCUGCUUCCGAUUUCUUCUACUCCCCCGAAACCUUCAUCCUCUCCGAUUCUCUCUCCUCUCACAUUUGAUCGCUGCAACUCUUACAAGGUUAAAAUUGAUCGCAAUUUGUUGAUUUGUUGAAGGUGAUUUUUUGAUUUUUUUUGGCAUUUGGGAGAUUUAUUUUGGGAUAUUUGAUGUGAAAUCUGUUGAGUUUUUGAUGUUUUAUUGAGUUUUUAGUGUCAAAAACAUGUUUUUUGUUUGUGGAGAAGAAGACGAAGAGCCCGAAUUGAAGGGUACCCGAAUUGAAGACCACAUAUUGAAAAGACGAAAAAAGAAGAGCCCCUUCCCCUUUUAUUAAUUCAUUUUUAUUUUUAUUUUAUUCAUUUAUUAAACGAGUACAUCUCAGCAUUUAGAUGUUUUUGUUGUUUUUGAGGGAAGAUAUAUUCUUUAUGUAACAUAUGAGGACAGCUGUUAGAUAUAUCUAUACUAUAUAUUAAAAGGCGUUUGUGAAAA
Molecule: long non-coding RNA, 911 nt
Organism: Spinacia oleracea (spinach)
Lineage: Eukaryota; Viridiplantae; Streptophyta; Magnoliopsida; Caryophyllales; Amaranthaceae
Exons: 2
Source: RefSeq, a predicted model, not a curated record